This 271-nucleotide ribosomal RNA is filed under the name uncultured prokaryote. Its description in RNAcentral is "partial 16S ribosomal RNA". It matches the Rfam family "Bacterial small subunit ribosomal RNA", at positions 524 to 794 of the family's 1533-position model. The record is from RNAcentral.
UACGGAGGGUGCGAGCGUUAAUCGGAAUUACUGGGCGUAAAGCGCACGUAGGCGGUCUGAUCAGCCGGUUGUGAAAGCCCCGGGCUCAACCUGGGAACGGCAUCCGGAACUGUCAGGCUAGAGUGCAGGAGAGGAAGGUAGAAUUCCCGGUGUAGCGGUGAAAUGCGUAGAGAUCGGGAGGAAUACCAGUGGCGAAGGCGGCCUUCUGGACUGACACUGACGCUGAGGUGCGAAAGCGUGGGCAGCAAACAGGAUUAGAUACCCCCGUAGU